UCUUAUUUUUUAGUUAUUUAUUAUUUAUUUAUUAUUAUUUAAUAUAUAUUAUACUAUUAUGUUAUAUUUAUUUAACUUGUCAUACUUGGCGUAUGACAGACAAAGAUAGUCUCCCCUUGCCAAAUUUUCACAAAUUAAAUUUUAAUUGUCUGCUAUUUUUAAAACUGAUAUUUUCUCGAUAUAACAAUAUAUAUCGAAAUACCGUAUCGUAUAACAUAAAAUACUAUAAAUGUACUAAAUACAUAAUACGGAACUGUAAUGGUAUUUUUAAAAAUCUCCCAAAUGAAUAUCUCUCGAACGCCUACAGAUGAUCUCACUCGAUCACUUUGUUAUCGUACGCGUUGUGGUUCAUCGGUCGAGCGAACGUAUAACAUCGUAGCAUGAUCGUUUUACCUUGUCGAUGUUCGAAAACUUUCGACGCUGUGUAAAUUUCACGUGUUUCUUCUUUUUUUCCUUUUCGUAUUUUUAUUAUUUUACCAUACUUAUUUGUACUUCUCGUUGCUGUUCACAUACAAACUGAAGUUAUUUUAUUUAGAGGAAUAUCAGGGUGCCCUCUUGCGGCAUUAGGAAAAAUCAACAAGAAAGAAAGUCAUGAGAAGAAGGUGGCUCGAGCCAUAAAAAUCAUUGGAGAAAAGAAAAUGUAUCUGAAAGCAGCAAACUACUUUCAAGUGGACAAGAAGCUGCUGUGCUGCAGUCCAGUUUGAUACUUGCAUUUACGACUACUGUUAGUUCGAGGGAGAAACUUGUUCAUAGCGUUAUGAGUAUACAAGUGACCUUAAAUUGAGCGUAAAUAUACGAGUAACAAGAACAACAUUCGAAAAACGAUAUGGUAUUGUAUGUUUGGCUAAUUUACUUUUUUAUCGGGGACGACAAGAUGGAUCGAUUGCUGCAGGGCUUCUUAAACUAUGAGUCGUAAUCCUAUAUAGGAUCAUGUAACAGAGUUACGAGGUCGUGAAACUUUUAUAACUGUCACACAUCGGUGAACUAAAAAAUGUCAAUCAACUGUCACCGAAGGAUCAAGUGAUAUACAACAGCAUUUUUUUAAAAAACAUUUUGAAUGAAUUUUUGCUUGGAAUGAAUACAGAACUUUCAAUAAUUUAUAAAACACACACUUACGACUAUUUUAUGCUAUGUAUCUACUGCAGAAGGACAACAUCAUCGUUGACGAUUGCAAAAUGAAAAUAUCGAUUAACACUCAAGAACAUUGAACGUACUCUGUUAUAUCAGAUAUUUAACCAGAAUUCUUUGUGCAAAAAUAAACAAGCACAUCUGUUUCACCGAUGUGCAAAUUUAAUUCUGCUCUAAUAUGUGAUAAUAAAUGAUACAAUUAUAAAUGUAACAAAGAAUUGUUUAGCAUUAAACUUCUCUAAUUUAUUGUCGAUUAAUGUUUUAUGUGUACAAGGUGGACAAUAUAUAACUGACUAAUUUCAAAGUCCCGCCAUUUCGAAACGAUGCAUCAUCUCCUGUUCCGCUUUAACAAUCGUAUCAUGAACGUACGACAAAAUAAUCAUCGAGCGUUACACAGUUCGAGAGCGGGGAAAAAUUGUCAAAACACUUUAUCAAAGUGAUUCGUCGAUAACGAUGACCUCACACAAAUUACUCUGCCGGUAUCGUCCGGCCAUCAAAGAUCGCCUGAUUCUAUUGCAGCGGAUUUCUUGUUACGAGGAUCUCUCAAAAGUAAAGGGCAUAUCGAUAAACGAAAGCCAAUCGAGCAGCUAAAAGAUGCUAUUCGAGAAGCGACAGCGAACAUAACUUUCGAAACGUGCGAAGAUGUAACGAAAAAUACGACUGACAGGGCUGACUUUGUACAGCAUCCGAAGGCAGGCAUCUUUCUCAUAUCAUGAUUCCACACAUGAUUUCCAAAUAUUAAUAAAUGACUCGUAUUAAAAAAGACUGUUGUCUUUUACUUCGUUUAGAAGUUAUCGACAGUGAGAAUCAGUCAGUUACAUAUUGCCCAAUAUGUGUAUUUAAUUUAUGUACCUCUUUAUGUAUAUAAGUUGUGUUACCUCACCCUGUUACACUCAUUUGCGACCCGUUUAUUUGCGAUACAAGAGAACGUUUCGGACGGAAGUUGCAUGGUACAGUGCUUUUGUCUAUCUGACCUUACGAUAACCUUGAGACGUAUAGCAAAGGUGGCAUACAAAUUUUUAAAUGGGUGCCUUCAUUUUUCAUUAGGUACUUUCGUAGCUGAUAUUCAGACGUGUUGAAAAACGUGCAAACCUGUGUCCUCCGCAGCAUCUGCUAUCGAGAUAUAAACUUUUAACUUCGAUAUACAAGAAAUUCGAUACUAGGAAAUUAGCUGAAAGUGACCGCUCGAAAUGAAUCGACUAUUUCGGACACGUUACAAAACUGCAAUCUUGUGUUUCGAUGAAGCCACAUCAGUGACAGUAUUAUGAAAAUCUUUAUGCGUGGUCGUAGUAUACACCAGGUAACGUUAAUGUGUGUGGCGCAUUGAAUUUUAGCUCGUUCACGCCGGCGUGUACCACCUGUGGCUCACGCUUGUGUCUCCCAUCAGGCGGCGUGCACCACCGAUGGCUCACAUUUGAAUGUUUCAUCAGACGGUGCACACCAGCAAAAAUGUAGUUCGUUUAGUAACUAGAAAAAAUUGCCAUUUGGUUGAAAAUUUAAACAAUGGAAAUUUAAUGUAUAUUAAUUGAAAAAAAGUAGAAUUUAUUUAAAAAUGUAGCAAUUCAAUAUUAUAAACUUAUUAUAAAAAUGAAUACGAGCUCCGCCCCACGGUGAGAAACACAAAUAGCAGCGCCGGCAUGAACAUGUUAGAGACCGCAUCCCGACAAUGUUGGAUAGCGCGAAACACACGAGUUUGUAGUGUUUUGAAAACGUCUGAACGUCGGCUAAGAGCACACGUAAUAAAAGACAGAGGUACGCGUUUAAAGAUUUUAACGUCGCCUUUACAGGACGCUUCAAGGUCGUCGCAAGGUUAAAUAAAUAAAAGCACUCGAUGCCAAACAAGUUUUGCCUGAGACAUUUUUCUAUAUCAUCGCAAAUAAGAGAGUAAUUAAGGAUGACAGAGUUAGGUGGGAUACCCUGUAUAACCGGGGUGGCGUGAAAUGUUUCCUGGCAAAAUGGAGUUGCGAAUGGGAGAAGUUUAAAAAGUGCUGAAUUAGUGUAUUGAAAAACUCAUGAUUCCAUGGAAAAAAAGAAAAAAAAAGAAAAGAACAUCGGUGACCUUCAUGCGUCCUCUACGCGUUCACCUAGGACAAAGCUAAUCAUACCAAAUUACGUCCCCCUCG
Long non-coding RNA from Bombus pyrosoma, 3251 nucleotides. RefSeq lists it as uncharacterized. NCBI's taxonomy places the organism in Eukaryota, Metazoa, Arthropoda, Insecta, Hymenoptera, Apidae. The transcript is spliced from 3 exons. The record is from RefSeq and is a predicted model, not a curated record.